Long non-coding RNA from Aethalodelphis obliquidens (Pacific white-sided dolphin), 1083 nucleotides. RefSeq lists it as uncharacterized. NCBI's taxonomy places the organism in Eukaryota, Metazoa, Chordata, Mammalia, Artiodactyla, Delphinidae. The record is from RefSeq and is a predicted model, not a curated record. The transcript has 2 exons.
AAGUCAGCAGUCUGCAAGCUGGAAGAGGGUCCUCACCAGAACCAACCCUGCCGGUACCCUGAUCUCAGAUGUCCAGUCUCCGGAACUGUGAGAAAUACAUGUCUGUUGUUUAUACGCCACUUAGUCUAAGGCACUUUGUUAUAGCAGCCUGAACUAAGACAAAGAGUGACCCGUCCUGUGAGGUUGGAGCCUAAGGAGGGUGCCACGUGGGGAACAGCUGGCUUGCAAAGGAUGUCACAGCCUGAGUGGAGUGAGGACUUCAACAGCAGCUGCCUCUAGUUGAUGAGAAGCAGAUGCUCUGAGCCUCCUGCAAGAGUUAAUGAUUACAACAGCCCAAGGGCGUCUGAACCAAAGGACAAGCAGGCGGCACCUUACUGACUCAGACUUGUGUAAAUGCAGGACACAUGUUCCCAGGACAACUCAGCCAAGUUCCAGAAAGGAGAGGUUUUCAUGCAAGCUCCUAGGAUUCACUCCCUAAAGCCGUUCUUGCUGAAGAGGAUUCUGCACUUAAAAUGUAAACUCCAAGCAAUCGCAGAUGGAAAGACAGAAUUCUUUGUAAUGAGCAGAUCAGCAAAGAUAUCAAGAGUUUCUCCUUGUGGGUCAGACAACAUGGGAUGAGGGUCACAGGUAAGAAAACUUCAGAAUUAAUGAUGAGGAACAUAUGGACAGGACUGGACAGGACUGUUUUCAUUAGUCACAGCUGGAUAAGGUUUUCAGCAAUUUCAGAGAUUGGGUGACUGUGGAACAGCGUUGUAAUAUAUUUUCUCUGCCAUGGUAGAAAUGUUCUCUAUCUGCACUAAUACAGCAGCACUAGCUACAUGUGGCUAUUGAGCACGUGAAAUGUGACUAGUGCAACUGAGGGUCUGCAUUUUUAAUUUUACUUAAUUUUCAUUAAUCAAAAUAUUUCAAUAGGCCCGUGUAGCUACUGACUACCACAGCAGACAGCGCAGCUCUACAGAAUUUGUGAUCACUGUAUAAUUGACUGCCGGUGUACUGUGUGAGGUAUUUUGGUUGUUUUCAAUUGUCUCAGAUAAUCAAAAAAAUAUUUCUUGUAUAAAUAAAAGUCUUAGUUAAAGAACCCUU